RNAcentral lists this small RNA (379 nucleotides) under bovine gut metagenome. RNAcentral describes it as "cspA thermoregulator". The record is from RNAcentral.
AUUCAAGCGAUAUGCUAAACUUACUCUGUAUUCGUGAUACCUUCGAUCCUUUUCUUUGCGAAGCCACCACGUGUUCGCCGAUAAAGCAUCGGCAUUUCCCGGGUACAGAAUUUUUUACGGAGGUACCUCAAAUGAACAGCGGUACUGUGAAAUGGUUCAACGCUGAAAAGGGUUAUGGCUUCAUCUCCAAUGACAACGGCGGCGAUGACGUGUUUGUGCACUUCUCUGCCAUCCAGGUGGAAGGCUUCAAGACCCUUACCGAGGGACAAAAGGUGACGUUUGAUACCGAACCCGAUCCCAAAAACAGCGAAAAACUCCGCGCGAUCAACGUUUGCCCCGUCAAAUAAAAUCGCAAGGCACAAUAAAAAAGGCGCUUUUU